RNAcentral lists this ribosomal RNA (465 nucleotides) under uncultured bacterium. Its description in RNAcentral is "partial 16S ribosomal RNA". It matches the Rfam family "Bacterial small subunit ribosomal RNA", at positions 28 to 507 of the family's 1533-position model. The record is from RNAcentral.
GACGAACGCUGGCGGCGUGCUUAACACAUGCAAGUCGAACGGAAAGGCCCUGCUUGCUGGGUACUCGAGUGGCGAACGGGUGAGUAACACGUGGGCGAUCUGCCCUGCACUUCGGGAUAAGCCUGGGAAACUGGGUCUAAUACCGGAUAGGAGCCAUUUUUAGUGUGAUGGUUGGAAAGUUUUUUCGGUGUCGGAUGAGCUUGCGGCCUAUCAGCUUGUUGGUGGGGUAAUGGCCUACCAAGGCGGCGACGGGUAGCCGGCCUGAGAGGGUGGACGGCCACAUUGGGACUGAGAUGCGGCCCAGACUCCUACGAGAGGCAGCAGUGGGGAAUAUUGCACAAUGGGCGCAAGCCUGAUGCAGCGACGCCGCGUGGGGGAUGACGGCCUUCGGGUUGUAAACUCCUUUCGCGAGGGACGAAGCUUUUUGUGACGGUACCUAGAUAAGAAGCACCGGCUAACUACGUG